RNAcentral lists this transfer RNA (68 nucleotides) under Marmota monax (woodchuck). RNAcentral's name for it is "tRNA.Ala". Lineage: Eukaryota; Metazoa; Chordata; Mammalia; Rodentia; Sciuridae. The record is from RNAcentral.
GGAUUAUGGCUCAGCGGUAGAGCGCUCACCUCGCAGGUGCAAGGCCUUGGGUUCGAUCCUCAGCACCA